This 551-nucleotide long non-coding RNA is filed under the name Solanum lycopersicum (tomato). RNAcentral describes it as "long non-coding RNA (SLYC_LNC000459)". Lineage: Eukaryota; Viridiplantae; Streptophyta; Magnoliopsida; Solanales; Solanaceae. The record is from RNAcentral.
CAAAAUUACAACAACAAUGAUUUCUCCGAGACUUACAACAACAACGACGAUGCUUUCUCAGAGAAUCACAACAACAACAAUGAUGCUUUCUCGGAGAAUCACAACAACAACAAUGAUGGUUUUUCGGAGAAUUACAACAACCUCAACCAUAACAACAAUGAUUUCUCCGAAAAAUACAACCACAACAACAAUGAUUUCUCCGAGAAUUACAACAACAACAACAAUGUUUUCUCCAAGAAUUACAACAAUAACAAUGAUUUCUCCGAGAAAUACAACAACAACAACAAUGUUUUCUCCGAGAAUUACAACAACAACAACAAUGAUUUCUCCGAGAAAUACAACAACAACAACAAACUCUACUCUGAGAAUAAUAACAACAACAACAACGACGACAAUAGCUACUCCAAGAAUUACAACAGCAACAAUGAUUUCUCCGAGAAUUACAACAACAACAACAAUGGUUUCUCUGAAAAUUACAACAACAAUGACUUCUCGGGGAAUUACAAAACUAACAACAACAACAAUGUUUUCUCUGAGAAUUACAACAACAA